CCGCUUUGUUUAUCUACUCAAGCCUGACCAAUGGCGGGCACCCCUCCCCCAGCCUCGCUGCCGCCUUGCAGUUUGAUCUCAGACUGCUGUGCUCGCAAUGAGUAAGGCUCAGUGGGCAUGGGACCCUCCAAGCCAUGCGUGGGAUAUGAUCUCCUGUUAUGCCGUUUGUGAAGCCUGUUGGAAAAGUGCAGUAUUAGGGUGGGAGUGACCUGAUUUUCCAGGUGCCGGCUGUCACCCCUUUCUUUGACUAGGAAAGGGAAUUCCCUGACCCUUUGUGCUUCCUGGGUGAGGCGAUGUCUCGCCCUGCUUCGGCUCAUGCACGGUGCGCUGCACCCACUGUCCUGUACCCACUGUCCGUCACUCCCCAGUGAGAUGAACCCGGUACGUCAGUUGGAAAUGCAGAAAUCACCAGUCUUCUGCGUCGCUCAUGCUGGGAGCUGUAGACUGGAGCUGUUCCUAUUCAGCCAUCUUGGCUCCACCCCGUCUUGUAGUAAAUAUCUAAAUUAUCUGUGGCAACAACUUGGUGGGGUCAACUCGAAUGUUUUUGUCGGCUGUUCUUGAAGACUUCUGGGUCUCUACAACCACAUUCUUUGGCUGGUGCCAGUGUUUAAGCACUCUGAAACUGCAUAGCAGCAUGUUUGAAGGUGGCCUGUCAAAUUUGGGAAACUGACGGUGUGACUGAGCUAGUCACAGGGGUCUUCACAGAAAAGGCAGUCGGGGUCCUGGUCAACUGGAGAUUCCAUCUGAAUGUGAAUGGAUUUAAAAGGUGACUGGAACACUUCUUUCUGACCUCAGAGAUGUGAUGGAUGUCCGGGAAGAUUUUCUCAAGGGCUAGAAAGUGAAGUCAUUAAGACUAGAGCUCCAGGCUUCUUCAUCCAACUCCAAGGGUUCCCAGCAACAUGUGAAGUCCUCUAUCUGUCACUAAGAAGCCGUGAUGAGAAGAAUACACCUUGGCAGCUGCUGGAUCAAGGCAAAUGAGAGACCCAUGGAGCUCACUAAAUCCAACUCUACAGCUUGGAGCUAAGCCUAACUUAGCCAAGUCUAAACCAGUUUGACCUCAGCCAAUUCACAGAUGUUUGAGCCAGAAGUAAGGUGCUUGUUGCUGGAAGCCAGUUAAAUUUUGAGAUCUUUUUGAAAAAUAUAUUGUCAUUGCAGACAUAGAUGCACAUAGUUUUCCACACUGUGGGAAGUCAAAUUAAGCAUGCUUAGACUUUUAAAGCAGAAGCCCAUUAUUAGUGGGGUGGCAAAAAUGUUACAAGUGACAUAGUCCUCCAAUUUCCUUCUUCUAGCCCUCUGCCUAAGAACUAGUGUACUUCAUUUUGAAGUGGAGCCCUAACGGGAGUGUUCAUCUUCUGUCAACAGGGUUAAGCCUCUUGACGCUUACUGGGCACUCACAGUUGUUAGUUCCCUGGAAGACAUGAAAGAGCUUGAUUGGUUCUGUAGUCGUCAGUCAAUAACCAACUGUAACAUACCUACACUUCCAACAAAAUCUUGAUUUGGGAAAUUGAGUGUCUGCUUAUAGUUAAUCCUCUAUUUUUUGACACCUAGUAGGAAAAACAUUUUCAAAAGAGCCAUGACCUGACUCAGUUAAUAUGCAAGGAAAAAUAAGCAGUUCCAAACUUGUCAGUUUAUCCAUCAUCCCUUAUCCAAAAUCCUUCAACUCUCUUGGAAUUAUUUUGUUCUUCAUACUUGCCCAACAAAUAUCUUACUCUUGUCUUGGACUUUAUUUUAUAGUUAUCUCACAUAAGCUCCUUGUGGCUAAGGGCACAUAUUUGGAAUCAGACUACCCUAGUUCAACUCUUGGGUCUACCAUUUAUUAGCUUGUAUUACUUUGGGAAAGAUAAUUAAAUUCUCCAGAUCUAAUUUCCCCCAUUAUAAGAUAAUAAUAGUUAUUACCUGCUAGGAUUGUCUUGAGAAGUAAAUUAGAUAAUUCAUAAGAACCAUUUAACACAGUGCCAGCCACAUAAUGAAGGCAUAGUAAGGGAAAGUUAUUAUGCUGUUGAUAAUACUUGUCUAGGCAGGGGUCUCAUAUUUUUCCCUGUAUCCAUUACUGUACAAUUCAUCUGUCCCAUGACAUUCUAAGAUUGUUUUAGAGUGAGUUGCUUCAGAGUUGAAUAAUUCUAAUAAUAUAUUCUCAUGUUUGGAAACAACUUGGAAUUCCAUUUAGUGUAGACAUCAACAAUGAAAUCGCUAGAGGAUGAGUAAUUUCUACAAUUUUUAUUCAUUAUAGAGAGACCAAUGGGUAUAAUGGUGAAAAGAACUGAGUAGAAGGUCAGGAGGUCAAAGAGACUGAGUUUAAACCCUCACUCUGCUGAGUACUGUUAAUAAUGGUAUGAUCUUAAGAGAACUAAUCUUUAGUUUUUCCCACCUUAAAAACAGAGUUGUCAUGAGUAUUUAAUAAUAGAGGGUAGUAUGUAAACUUCCUGGCAUAUAGCAACUGCUCAACAAAUAGAAGUUAUAGUUUUUUCUUAACUUGCCAAAGAGCCAAGGGAAAAAUGAAGAUUUUGUAGCCAAAGCCAUUUAUCUUUCUCUGUUAUGUGCCUAUCUGUUCCAGAAACAGAAUCAAUUCCUUGAACCUCAUCAAAGGAAGGAUUUGAACAUUUAAAAAAAAAUCAAUCUCUUUGGGUUUGUUAUUGCUUGUUUCCCAUACCUCAGAGACACAAAUACAAACCUUUAUAAUGUCAUCAGGAAGAAGAGGAGUCAAACACUCCUUAACUCAAUAAUUGCAAUGUUAUUAUUUUGCAAGGAAUAGAGUCAAAAUUCCAUUCACAUGAGGACUGUAACUUCUUCAUUACUCCUUGAGGCACGAUGUCCUUGAUUUUAAGUAGCUCAUGUAGAAACUAGUUGUAAGUCUUUAGCGGAGAGACUGUACUGGAAUUAUAGGAUCUACUUAGGGGUUUGAGCUUCCCCACCCACUUAGAGUGACAGUUCACACCUAUAAAAACACAAAAGUCCGGGGGUUUAUUAAACAUUAGGAGAUCCAAAGAGCCAAGACUUCUACCUGUAAAAGUGGUGCUUCCUAAGCAGAAGAAAUGGAAUUUCUCAGAGAAUACAGCUUGGCUUGACCAAUGGACUGUACAAGGAAGAUUAGGAGGUAAUUACUGGGGUAAAAGAGAAAUGGUUGCAUCUUUCUGGAACACUCUAAUAAAACUGAAAGUUUUUCCUGAUUUCUUCUUUUAUUUGAUACAAGGGUCAAAUUUGAUACAUAAAGUCAUAAUGUCCCACAUGUACUUCUCAGGAACAUCUGUUUAGUCCUACUACAAAACUUGGGGAACAUGGUUUCCUAAUGUGGUACCAGUCGUCUCUUCAUGGAUGACUUCAGGAAGAAAUUCUGACUGGCAGACUCCACAAGUAUAAGACAAUAAGAGGCCAAUUUCUUUAUUCUUCUCCUCUUCUCCGCUUGUCCCCCCACCUCAUUAGCUUUGGGAGAAUAACACAGUGUGGAACAGAAAAAUAAGGAGCCUUGUUGUACUUCAUUGGCCUCAAGAGGUCUCAUCUAUUAAAUAGAUCCAUUAUGUUACUCUCAGAGAAAAUUAUAGUCAAAAAUAUUUCAAGUUUUAGGGCAGUACUGAAUAUAUAAGGGCUCUGUUACUUAAUCUCUGUGCUCUUAUCUUGGGGCGGCAAAGCUCAGUAGGGCUAUCUUGAAAGUAGCCUGAAAUCAAUUGGUCAGAUGAAAUCAAUUGGUCAGGAGGAGCCCAUCAGGAGGAUCAAGGACAUGGGUGACACAGUGAGUGUAAUUAUUAGUCAGGAUAGGUUAGGUUAGGCAUUAGUGGCAAAUUAUCUCCAAAUCUCAGUGGCUUGGUACAAUAAAGGCUUAUUGCUUAUUCAUGCAGCAUGUCUACUGCAGGUCCACAAGGGCUCUGUUCCACUCACAGAUCCAGAUUGUAACAUUCUUUGCCAUCUCAUAGCUACAUGAUCUAAACAUCAGCAGAAGGAAAGUGUCUUGGGUCAGGCUACCUGGAAAACAGAUCAAGAUAAAGAUUUCUGUGCAAAAAGGUUAUUGGGGAGGGAACUCUAAUUGAUAUCUGCCAGGGAUAGUGCAAGAAUGGUUGAGCAGACAAUUGUUGAACUACUUACUAUGUAUGUAGUAACAACAAAGGUCUUGACCAACCCAAAAGGGAGUCCUGGAGCUCAAAUGGUUCUUCACAGUUCUCUCACCUUAAGGCAAGGGACCUGGGCCUUUAUUAUCCCUUAUCAACCAGUCAUUUGAUUAGCUUGACCCCAGAGAGAGGUUAUGACCUUGAGUAAAGUGGCUCUCCUCUACUGAGGAUAAUUCCAGGAGAGCAACUCAGCUGAGAGCUGUCAGCAAUGGGAGGAAUCAGAGUCUCAGUCCUGAAGAGCAGAUCUGGGCAGCAUAUCAUAGCAUCCACCACAAGGGGGAAAGUGCGUGCACUUUUCAUUGCCUCCACCUGGGAGUGACAUAUGCCAUUUUUUGCUGUCAUUUCAAUGACCAAAAGGAGUCACAUGAUUCUAAUUGGAAGGAACCUGGG
Molecule: long non-coding RNA, 4490 nt
Filed under: Homo sapiens (human)
Lineage: Eukaryota; Metazoa; Chordata; Mammalia; Primates; Hominidae
Description: HSALNT0142424
Source: RNAcentral